RNAcentral lists this long non-coding RNA (220 nucleotides) under Homo sapiens (human). Its description in RNAcentral is "HSALNT0265219". The record is from RNAcentral. Lineage: Eukaryota; Metazoa; Chordata; Mammalia; Primates; Hominidae.
UGGUAGGUCAAGUUGAAGUAUAUGUGUGUGUCAUGGAAAAACAAGUCUAAAAAGAGAAGGAACAAAAAUACCUCUACAACGGAGAGCUAUCUUAAAUAGCAAUGUUUUUAUGGCAUGUGAUUGAAGAUUAUUAAGAUUGUGCCUAAAACUGAGGAUCUUCCACAACAGUUUACAAGCAGUGAAGGGGCAUUUUUAACCACUGGAAAAAUAAACAGCCAAG